This 380-nucleotide ribosomal RNA is filed under the name uncultured eukaryote. RNAcentral's name for it is "partial 18S ribosomal RNA". It matches the Rfam family "Eukaryotic small subunit ribosomal RNA", at positions 592 to 976 of the family's 1831-position model. The record is from RNAcentral.
CAAUAGCGUAUAUUUAAGUUGUUGCAGUUAAAAAGCUCGUAGUUGGAUUUGUGGCGUACGGUGUGUUCCGGGCACUUGUUGUCUGAGUAACCUGCUGUUGCCAUCCUUGGGUGGAACCUGUGUGGCAUUAGGUUGUCGUGCAGGGGAUGCCCAUCAUUUACUGUGAAAAAAUUAGAGUGUUCAAAGCAGGCUUAUGCCGUUGAAUAUAUUAGCAUGGAAUAAUGAGAUAGGACUUUUUUGCUAUUUUGUUGGUUUGCGCAAAGAGGUAAUGAUUAAUAGGGACAGUUGGGGGUAUUCGUAUUCCAUUGUCAGAGGUGAAAUUCUUGGAUUUUUGGAAGACGAACUACUGCGAAAGCAUUUACCAAGGAUGUUUUCAUUAA